Molecule: long non-coding RNA, 411 nt
Organism: Numida meleagris (helmeted guineafowl)
Lineage: Eukaryota; Metazoa; Chordata; Aves; Galliformes; Numididae
Exons: 2
Source: RefSeq, a predicted model, not a curated record
GGCGGGGGGGAACGCUGCCUUUCGUUAUCAGAUGCAGAGCUCCGCGUGGAUCGGCGGCGCUGGGAGGGAGCACGGCUCAGAGCAAAGGGUCGGUCCAUAACUUGGCUCCAUUUUCUAUCUCCUGCUCUGAGUUGGCUGCCAACCCAUCAUCAACCCUCCAAGUGCUCUGGGAGAAAGAAUUGGGACCCAGUGCAUCUCAGUGCAAUUGUGGUGCCUUUCCUUGUCCUUCUAUUUCCAAAAAUCAGAGAUCUAGAGCUGGCCUGGCGGGGACAGGGCUUUCUGGUCCCCUGGGCUGCAGCCCAGAUGGCAUGCACAGAUUAGUGCAGCCUCCAGGGCCACCAAUCCCAGGCAGUUUGGCAGGGCUGAAUUCCCUCCAAAUGACAAAAAUAAAUAAAAUCUCUCUGCAUUAAA